Molecule: long non-coding RNA, 705 nt
Organism: Populus trichocarpa (black cottonwood)
Lineage: Eukaryota; Viridiplantae; Streptophyta; Magnoliopsida; Malpighiales; Salicaceae
Exons: 3
Source: RefSeq, a predicted model, not a curated record
GCAAGAUAACUAAGUCAAUAGUAUGACUACUGAAACCAAGGACCACCUUUUCUCUCGAUGAAGAAUCAAGAUUCAUUGAAUUCGUAGGUAGUGACUGGUCCAUGUCAUUCCCUUGUAUUUAUAGAAAACAUGUUGCACUCGUCUCUAUUAUUUUCAAUUUCUUAUUCUGAAAUUAAACACAACUUCUGAGUAGACUAGUCUCCGAAAGAAGAGCACCAAAAUAUAAACGAUCGCAUGAAGAAUAUAAAGCGCAGCCUGCUUCACGGUGCCUCUCUUGAUUGCAUUGGUCUCUUUGCUUUUCGCCUUCGCCUUCUCUUUGGCGAUGAUGAAUGAGAGGCAUUCAUGAAAGGGAUUUGCAUGCUUGUAGCUGCAAAUAUCACGCCUGGGAUAGGGGGAAGAUCCCAAGGAAAGCUAACAGACGCGGCAAUUCUAGGACCCAUCUUCUAGCUGGAAAGAGUGGAGAAAAGGGGCCUGAUCUAAUAAGACAAACACGGUGUUUGAUUGGAUUGUUUGACUAGAUUUACAAAUAUGUCACAAAAUUCAGCAGGGUAACCUUCUGGACCUCCUCCAUGCAUGUGCUUCAUCUCAUCAUAUCUAACUAUUUGUCAGAAGUCACGGCCAUUCUUGCAUAUUUUUAUUACACUCGAUGUCUGAAAAUGGUGCUGUUUAUCUUUUAAUCUUGUAAUUAAAUCCAGGUUGCAUUCU